UAAGACAGAGGGGGCAAGCGUUGCUCGGAAUUACUGGGCGUAAAGGGCGUGUAGGCGGGAUGGCAAGUCGGUCGUGAAAUCCUUCGGCUCAACCGAAGAAGUGCGUCCGAUACUGCCAUUCUUGAGGGUUGGAGAGGAGACUGGAAUUCCCGGUGUAGCGGUGAAAUGUGUAGAGAUCGGGAGGAACACCGGUGGCGAAGGCGGGUCUCUGGCCAAAUCCUGACGCUGAGGCGCGAAAGCGUGGGGAGCAAACGGGAUUAGAUACCCCGGUAGUCCACGCUGUAAACGAUGACGACUAGGUGUGGGGAGGUCAGUCCUUUCCGUGCCGCAGCUAACGCAUUAAGUCGUCCGCCUGGGGAGUACGGCCGCAAGGUUG
RNAcentral lists this ribosomal RNA (376 nucleotides) under uncultured bacterium. RNAcentral's name for it is "bacterial SSU rRNA". It matches the Rfam family "Bacterial small subunit ribosomal RNA", at positions 521 to 896 of the family's 1533-position model. The record is from RNAcentral.